UUGCUUUCAUUGAGUAAAACAUUGUGUUCUCUGAAUCGAUUCAGCUCCGAUUUCAAGUGUUCAUCGUGUUCUUCGCAAGUUUGACCACAAACCAGCACAUCAUCCAGCCACACCGGUAUUUACGAGAAUGCUUUGAUAAGACAAAAAAUGCCAGAUCAUUCCAAGUGAUACUAACUUGAGCAUCAUCAUCACUAUUGAGAUUAAGCAUCUUGAACUGUAUCUCAUCAGCAUCCGACACGUCGACCGCCUUCGAGCCGAGGACGACCCAUGAAUUCUGGAGUCCGAACAUGCUGCACUACACUAAACGCGAGAAGACUACCCCAGCUGGUACGUGUAUGAAGCUAACUGCUGCUCAGAUAAGCGUAAGAUCUACCUUUGCACGUUCGUUACAACCUGGUAAGAUACAAUGGGAAAGUUCUAGAGUGCCUCCCCGAUCAAACCACACUGUAUGUAGCACCGCACCUGAGGGUAGAAGCACUGAGCGCGGGAGUCAAAGCGCGCGACUUAACACCACUAAACAACCAACCGAAUGGGAGAAAAAAGCUCAAGUCUAGAACGUUCAACAAAACGGACAGGUGAACACGAUUUGCGAUGAGAAUGAAAGCUCUGCCGGCCGAUUGAUAUGACUGUUUGCUUUCCACGAGCUUGCAAAAUGUACUGACGUGAUUAUCUAAAGUGUUCAUAUAUUUAUUACAAAACAGAUAGAUACGACUCUUUAGCAACCACUAAAAGUCUACGGGUUAUCAAUAAGUGAGAUUGUCGAUGUUUCUACAGGAAAACAAACGAAAUGCCUAGGCUCUAUGCUAAUU
Long non-coding RNA from Uranotaenia lowii, 809 nucleotides. RefSeq lists it as uncharacterized. The record is from RefSeq and is a predicted model, not a curated record. NCBI's taxonomy places the organism in Eukaryota, Metazoa, Arthropoda, Insecta, Diptera, Culicidae. The transcript has 3 exons.